AUGAAAAUAAUCCAUGAAGCUAUUGACAUGAUACGUGAGCUGAUGAAGUAUAUUGACUCUUCUCCUUCAAGACUUCAAGAUUUCAAUACAACUGCAAGUGGGAUGGGUCUACAUGCAAAGAAAGGCAUCUCUGUUGAUACACCAACCAGAUGGAACUCAACCUGGAAAAUGCUUGUAGAAGCAUUGACAUACAAAUCUGUUCUCACUAGUUAUGCCAACAGAAAGAUGAUAGAUUCUCCAAGUGAGGAGGAAUGGGAGAAGGCAAAAGCUAUUUGUGAGUUUCUAAAAGCUUUUGAAGAGCUUACUUUGAUUGUUUCAGCUCAUAGGAAACCUCUGAUGUGUUGA
Molecule: ribosomal RNA, 345 nt
Filed under: Triticum aestivum (bread wheat)
Lineage: Eukaryota; Viridiplantae; Streptophyta; Magnoliopsida; Poales; Poaceae
Description: partial small subunit ribosomal RNA
Source: RNAcentral